Molecule: non-coding RNA, 4950 nt
Organism: Rattus norvegicus (Norway rat)
Lineage: Eukaryota; Metazoa; Chordata; Mammalia; Rodentia; Muridae
Source: RefSeq, a predicted model, not a curated record
GGAAGGACGCUAUAUAAACAUGGUCUGGGUGAAUCAGGUGUUAGUUCUUGAUUCACUGCAUUAGGUAAAAUGAGGAGCUGACUCCUACUGAGGAGAAUUUCAGCAGCACUUAAAAGGCCACAAGGAGAUUAAUCUGUCAACCAAAAUGUCCUAAUGAACGCCAUAAGAAACUAGAUUAACUUUGAGAAAUCCAGCUUGUAAGAGAGAAUGUGUUUUAACUCACAUUUAAACUACAUGAUGUUGGCAUUGGUCUUUUUUUCCCCUCAAUCCAAACAAUUUAUUUUUAAAAAAACAUUUAUUCAGCUCAUGAUUCUGGAAGCUGGGAGGUCCAAGGUAGAAGGACUACAUCUAAGGAAGACCUUCUUGCUGCCAAAGACCCUGCAGAAUCCCCAGGCUUCACAAGGCUCUAUGUGAUGAGAGGGGCUUAUGACAGAAACCAAACCAGACUGCAUAAGAGCCCUACUCUCAAGACCAUACAUGGAUUGAUCCACUAACCCAUAAAUGGACUCAUUCAUGAGGGUGGUACCUUCAUGGCCUAGUCAUUUCGGAAAGGUGUCACUGUCCCAACCCCUUAACACUUCACAGUGGAGAUCAGUUGGAACUUGAGUUCUGAAUGGGCCAAUCAAAUCACAGCAGUAGCCACCUCUUCAGCUGCCCCCGCCAUCACAAAUAGUAGUAGUGGAGCCCUUCAGAGCUUAAAGGAAAAAAGAAAAUGUUUUACGUGUGUCUCUUUAAAUACAUCAGACAGAGCAAAUAAUUGUUACAGGAAGACUCGCCCGGCUAUGUUUGUAACUGAACACAGCUGUGGAGUGUUGGCUAACUGUCCACAGGCUCCCGAUCUGACAUCGGCCACAGCUGCAAAAAAAGAAAGCUAAGGAUACAGUGAAUGAGAAAGACACGUCCAUCCGACCUCAAAAGGAGGUCAGCGUGUUUUAUACCCAACGUGGAACUAAGGCUUAGUGUGUAGGUUUUAUAAUAUACUGCAUUUAUUUUAAUUCAAUUGAUAGAUGCGGUAUUGGGGCUCAAGACUUGAACUCAAGAUCUUUGCCCUCAUUAGAAUUUCAUUAUUUUGAAAUUGGAUUUUUCUUUAAAGUCGCCGGAACAUUAUUUUUGGAAGAUUCUGAUAAAGGGAAUUUUGAAGUGACCCUUCAUAUAUAGUUACCACUGACUGUUCCAGCCCCAGUAUCUCACUUCUCCAUUGUGAACCUGCCUGUGUAUGUUCAUUCCUGAAGCAAGAAAAGAAGGGCAAAAAAUCCUCUAAGCUCAAACCUCCAUGAGAGAAACUGAGCAACACAGCAGACCUGCCAUCCCUCCAGGCUUUGAAGUAAUGGGGAAGGGGAGAAUAUUACUGUUCUGAUUGGCUAACGAAAGCCUCAUCGCUCACAAACACAACCGUAUGGGGCUUUGUAUGGCAUUCACACUUAGCUAACAGUUAGCUACCCUGAUUCUUCCAGUCAGCACUCGCUGAGAUGACCCCCAUAUUACAGUGUUUUUUUCUUCUUAGAGCAACUGUAGUAGAGGACUGUGUGGGUGUCUUAUAGGGGAAGACCAGGAAGCUUGCUUAGCAUUUGAACACAGACCUAUUUCCGGUAGCUUCUGCGUUUUGUAACCCCCUUACUGUGUGCCGCUGUGAGUCUUUGUGCGUGAGAUGCGUGACUGAGAGAUGCUCUCUGCUCCCAAGUAACAGAGCAGCAGAAGAGGUGGUGCCAAGCUUGUCGGCAGGAGAGAGUGUGGUCUGGGGCAGGUUGCAGGCUUUCUGUGGUGUUCACAGAUGUCCUCAGUGCGGUGACGCUGAGGGAACGGGGUGGUUAGAACGCAGUUGUUUGGUGCUGGGGGUCAAACUUUGGACCUUCACAUUCUAAGCUUGUCGUUGGUCACUGAACAACAUCUCCAGAACCUAGGACGUGAGUAGUUUACGAUAAGGACUGCAGAUGUAAGAGCUGGAAAAGCCACUGUGAGUAGAGUGAGCCCCGCAGCACCAGUGGCCCACUUGGAGAGAUAAGGACACUGUUAGAGUGAGCAGAGAGUAAAUAGAGGAAUCUAGAGAUGAUCCUGCAUGUGCAAGCAGCCCAGAAGCAUGGUAGUGUUUUUACCCCAAUUCAAAGCAGGCUCCAAAGAGGAUCCUUUUGUCUGCUACCUUAUUCCCAUUAAGUAAAAACCCAGUCUAAGCCCUUCCCUUAACACACAUGCAAAAACAGAGGCCCAGAGAGGCAAAGUAGCUUAUCUGAAACCACACAGCUCAUACCAGCGGAUUACAAAUGCGUUUCCAGUCUGGUUUCUAGACCAUCCAGGCAAAUGCUCUUCCCAAUACCAACUGACUUCCUGUGCUUUUGAGGGGAAACAGCACAGGGUCGUGUGGUUAUGCCUGAAUUUGCUUAGUAUCACUUGAAGUGUUGAUAGAGUUUAUCAGAUAGAGAAGCUGUCUUUUAAAUAAAUAAAUAAAUAAAUAAAUAAAUAAAUAAAUAAAUAAAUAAAUAAAUAAAUAAAAGAAAACCCAGCGAAGUACAUGAAUGGCCCACACACCCAAUUUCAGGACACAUACAUACAUGCAUACACACAAAUAUGUUUAGUUGUGUAUAUAAAGCAUAAAUGCACACGUCCACAAAACCAUAGGUGUACAUGAGCACACAUAUAACUGAUUAAUCUACAUAUAUCUAUGUGCACACAUUUUAUCUUUUUCCACGCAUUGAAACAAACAACAACCGUUUUCUCUUCACUCUUGUAAAAUCUGUUGACUCGAAUCUUUUUCCCGGUUUUCCCUCAGGGUGCUGUCUCUAGGGUGCUGCUGGCUCUGCUGUACUCUGCUUUCCCUCAGCUUUUCAGGGGUUUGCUCACUCUUUGCCUAUGUGACUGUUUAUUAAACCCCUUUCCUACAGAGGCAAGAUCAACGAGAGCCAGGGGCAACCCCUAGAAGCUGCUCUGGGUUCUAGUUUUUUGUCAAUUGAAAUUUUCCCGCUUCCUCUGGAAAAAAACAAAAAACAAAAAAGACAGAAUGACCUCCCAGGCCUUUUGUCACCUCCCUGUGGGACAAUCAAGAUUGGCUUUCCUAUUGCCUAGGAGACAGGAGACGGCCCUGUGUUAAACAGCACAUCUGCUCUUGCAAAAUAGUUGAGGUUCCAAAGCCAACCUCUGUCAACCCACAACCACCAGUAACUUCAUCUCAGAUGAAGUUCUAGCCUUUGCAGGCAGGCACACACACAUACACACAUAUACCACCCACAUACACACAGAGACAUGCAUACAAACAAACAUAUACACAUACACAAAAUCAUAUACAAACAUGCACACAGGCAUACACCCAUACACAUACCACCCACAUACACACACAUGUACACACAUACAUACACACACCUAUAUGUAUACACACACACAGAGACAUACAUGCACACACAUACACACACACAAACAUAAAAACAUACACACAUACACAUACCACCCACAUACACACACAUGUACACACAUACAUACACACACCUAUAUGUAUACACACACAGAGAGACAUACAUGCACACACAUACACACAAGCAUACAAACAUGCACACAGGCACACACACAUACACACACAUACCACCCACAUACACACACGCACACACACAUACACACAGAGACACACAUACAUACACAUACACAUACAUGCAUACACACACAGAGACACACACACAUGCAUAUAAUUAAAAACAAAAUCAACCAUAUCUUUAAAUGACUAAGCUUUUCUGUACCAAUUCGGAGGGCAGAACCAUAUAUUUUCCUCUAGAAUUAUUAUACUAUUUUUCAAUAUUUUGAUUUUAAAUUUUUAUUAUUAAUUUUGUUUAUGUAUUUGUGUGCACAUGUGUGGUCAAGUGCAAAAGCAUGUGUAUAUGCAUGUGUGUGGGGGCAAAGGUUCCAAUGUCAGGUGUUUUCCUCAGUCACUUUCCACCUUAUUUUCUGAGACAGGGUCUCUCAUCAACCCUGGAUCUCACCGACUGAGCUAAGUAAUAGCAGGAGAGGGACCCCGAGAAGGUCCUCCUGUCUUGUCCUCUCCAUCACUAGUGUUAGGGGUGCACAUUGCCACCCUUGGCUCUUUACGUGAGUGCUAGGGAUUGAACUGAGGUCCUCUUGUUUGUGACGUAAGCACUUACAGAGUCACCUCCUCAGACCCUAGUCUAAAAAGUGCUAUUAUUUGCCAAUAAAAGUUUAUAGUUAAUAUGACAUUUAAGUAUGUUCUAAAUGUCAAUAUACAGUGUUUUCUGGUCCCCUCAUACAUAGUAAACACACACAAAAAAUGACUUUAAAAAAUGAAUCUUGUAAAAGGAAUGCUUUUAAGUAUCAGAUUUUUAGUUUGAGUUAUAAUAGCAUUAAUAAAUUGAAUUAACCUUCCACCUUCUUUUCCUUGAAUGGAAGAGGAUGAGCCGUUAAUUAAUUAAUUAUUUCAUUAAUCUCAUGAUCGCCGCAGAUUCUCUAAACCCACAGAUAAAAUCUCCCUGAAUGUAAACACAAUGCCCAUUGCCAUGGCAACGGAAUCAGAGACAGCAUCAAACCAUGGCAGAUAGUUACCCACCAGCCCCACCUUUAAUUUUCAGAAAGCACUGUGGCCUCUUCAGAGAAAGUGCUCAGAAAGACUGUGAGCCCCACUGUGCCUGGUGACAGGGCCUGGGGGCUCUCCCAGCUCUGUAGGAGAGAGACAUUUUUCCAGAGGCUCACAGGUGUUUUGUUUCUCCAGUGUGUGAUGUCCCAUCCAGUCCAUGUAUCAAAUCUUCUGACUUUUACCCUUUGAAAGCAUGUGAAGGAAAAGGCCUGCCUCAUCCGGUCAAACACCUUUGUCUUGUUAAUGCUAUUCCAAUUGUGGGUCCCCUUGAUCAAGAACCUUCAGAGAACACCCGCAGAGUCUCAGGUCUUUCGACUGUACAGGAUUUCUUCAAGCAAGAAUUGACUUUCAUUAGCACAUCCAAUGAAACUAUUUUUAAGCCUGUU